Gallus gallus (chicken) is the source of this 2800-nucleotide long non-coding RNA. RefSeq lists it as uncharacterized. NCBI's taxonomy places the organism in Eukaryota, Metazoa, Chordata, Aves, Galliformes, Phasianidae. The record is from RefSeq and is a predicted model, not a curated record. The transcript is spliced from 2 exons.
GGGUGCGGGCCGGGAGGGCUCUCCCCGUGGGGUCGGUGUUGUAUCCCCGGGCCCCUCUCUAACCCUACAGUACGAACCCGGGGUUGCGCGGAGCUCCGGACGGGACCCGCCGGCUCCGGCCCGAGGGAAUGGGGGGGUUCGGGGAGAGUGUUUGUGUGUGUGUGUGUGUGUGUAUGUGUGUGUGUUGGGGGGGUUUGACUUGAUUUGAUUUUUUUUUUUGCAAAACAUUUUUUUUUUCCUUUUUUUCUCUUUCUUUUUCUUUCUUUGCAGCGUCUCGUCGGCGUUUCGGCAGCGCAGGACGGGGCCGCCGCUCACUGCAGGACGCACUUCUCCUCCCGCUUGGCCAUCUUGCCUUUGUUUUGCUCCAGGGUCCGCUCCAGGUGCUCGUCCUCCUCCUCGGCCCUGCGGGGACACCCGGGGGUGAGCGGGGGCACAGAGCCCGGCCCCCCCCCGCCUCUCACUCACUGCUUCUCCUGCGCGUCCAGGUCCCGCACCAGCGCGUCCCGCUUGUUCACCAGCAGCACCAGCUCGUCCAGCAGCAGCUGCUCCCUCCGCUUCUGCGCCUCCGUCUUCUGCCAGUCUGCGGGGCGGGACGGACACGGUCACGGCACGGCACGGCCCGGCGGGGCGCAGCCCGACCCGGUGCGGCACAGCCCGGCCCGGCCCGGCUCUGCCCUCCGGGACGCAGCCCGCAGCCCCUCCGCCACCCCGCCCGGCACAGCCCUCCGCCGCCCGCCUCGCCUUUCAUUCUUUUAACGACUUUUAGCGAUUAGCCCCGUGAUUUCUGUUCCCCGCGGGACUCCGCACCCGGAGCGUUCCCCCCGAAGGGGCUCCGCAGCCGUUCGCCGUUCCCGUCCCGGCCGUGCCCCGGGGCUGCCGCUGUCACUCACCGCGCGGCCAUCCCCGCCUCCCUCAUUAGGAAGCUCCCCAUUUUCAGCCGCGGUUGCGGCUUUGCAAACGGCGAACAUCGGGCGAACGUUUCAGCGUCGGCCUCGCUCGGCCCUACUCUUUUUUUCCUGCUCGGUCCCCUCUACGAGCUGCCCUUCUCGUUGCCCCGUGGGCUCAGCGACACCGCGUCAACGGAACGCAACGAUUUGUCCCGUGCUCUCUGCGUCCGCCCAUCUCCGGCGGACAAGACGCGCGGUGCGCCGCUUUUACUUCGUUUCCCGCAAAAGGAGACCCAUUUGUCCCCCUCUCGGGUAGCGAGUGGCAAAGAGAGGGGCCGGCGCGGAGCUGUAGGAUCACUUCCCCUACUGGAGUUAUCCGCAAGCUGGUUCUGCCCAACAGCAUCCCGCCAGCAGCCCCUUGGGGUCCCUCCCUGCAGUGUCGGGGUGCCCGGCAGGCCCCUACCUGUUGUGCCCGGGGGCCCUCGGUGCCGUAAGGGCUGAGCCCCACGCAGCCAUGGGAUGAAGCCCCAGGGUCAGCUCCACGCUCAGUGCCGACAGCUGUGGGCACCGCGCGGGCUAAAUAGACGGAGUUUGUGAAACUCGCGUCGGAGGAGAAACGCUUUCAGUUCUUCACUGACUUCGCGUUGCCUUUUUCCCCCCGCUGCUCGCAGCGAUAUAAUUACUUGGGGCAAACGGGCGGCCGGUUCCCAUAGAAAUGCUUUAAUGGAAGCGGGCAAAAGUUCUUGCGGGAAAACCUGCAGCCCCGGCGCCGCAGUAACGAAACUGGGCACUUUGAUGGAAAUUAACGGGAGUUUUGUAAGGAGCGCGUUGGGGGAUGGCAGGCAGCCCUUAUCUGCGGUUCCAGUCAACUAGCAAUCCUGAAAGAGUUUGCAUCAUCAUCAGAGCAGCCCGUUUGAUAGGAUUCUGUGCUGCGCCUAAUCAAUCUAUGGGAUACCGGGCUGUGCGGUGUAACAAAGCUAAAAUAGAUUUACAAAUGGGGUUUUAGAGGAUAAGCUCCUCCACAGGAUUACAUAUUGAUUUUAAAUAUAAAAAGCUUAUCAUAUAAACCAUAACUACAAAAAUAGUGAACCUAUGCAUAAAUCCUUUUAGAAGAGCACCCACUUCAAACUGGAAGCCAGGAAUAAAUCAAGAUGUACAAAACCCUAAAGAAGAUCCAUUUCUUGGGCAGAAAACGAACACCUCCCUCCCAAGGUGUGCAAAAACGAACGUAUCUCUCCUAAGGAGGCAUUAAAUCUCGAAUUAAAAAAGGAAAAGAAAGAAGGGAAAGGGGGUGGAGACGGCGCUGGGGCCGUGCGGUGCAGGAUGGCCCCACGUCCCCGGCCCCGCGUGGGCAGCAGCGUGUUGCCGAGCUGCCGGACAGCAGCGGGCUGCUCUCUGCUCCCCUUCCCAUCUCUGCAGCUCAAGGAGGUGGAUAAAAAGUCCGGCUUUUGUUUGGCGCUCUCGUGUUUCGUAGCAGCGCUGCAGCCGCUCACGCACCCCGCGGCCCCGUCCCGCAGCCGGCUCUGCUCGCAGCCUUCCCGGCCAUAAGCAGCGGGGUGAACUGCCUGGGGGACACAUCACCAGCACAGCCACGCGUGGAAGUUACAGCCAUUCACCCCGGCAGCGAUUGCCAUCUUUCAAGGAGUUCUUUUGAUUUAUUUUUUACGUUCCAACCCAGGUCGGCGUUCUGCCUCACAACUCCCUCUUUGAGACGCACGGCCCGGUUGGCCCUGGGCUGCGUUUUGUUUUCUCUCUGGCAUUUUGCUGUCGUUUUGUUAGGAGGGCUUCCCUCCUUCUGUAGACUUUGAGGUAGAAGCGGAGCGCUGCCAAAACUUCUGAUGGGAUAACCAUUUGUUUUACGGUGCGAAACGCUCAGCACAGACUUUGUUGCAUAAAUAAAAAUAAUACCCAAA